CCUGAGACAAUCAGCUUCUCACUACAGCUGUGACUUAAUCACUGAGGAGAGGGGGAAGAGAUGAGGAGUGUCUGUGAAAGGGUGCAGGAGAGAUCAUGAUAGUGAACAGAGAGAGAGAUAUAAACAGAGAGGUAGAGAGAGGUAGAGAGAGGUAGAGAGAGAGAGAGAGAGACAGAGAGAGAGAGAGAGAGAGUUACAUUGAGAAGAGAGAGAGAGAGAGAGAGAGAGAGAGAGAGUUACAUUGAGAAGUCAUGCAGAAGAACAGCUCCUGACUUGUUAUAACUUUUUGGUUGUUAAGAGCGAGAUUGACACGACUAAAUUAGCAAAAAAUGUAUAGGUAAUCUAAUUGUACAACUGAAGAUCAAAACAGGAGGAAAAGAUUGACAGAGAGUGAGUAAAAAGACCAAUCUUCAUCGUGGUAGCUAGCCAAAUUCAAAUCUGUCAGCUAGCUCACCGUCUAGCUCUAACCGUUUACUGGUGGUAACCAAAGCAACAUGGCCACUGAGGCAGCGCUAGCAGCGACAGCAACGGCAGAGACUGAGAGACUUUCUCCGUUGUUUUUUGAAUACCCAGCAGAAAUCAAAUCAGAGAAGGGAAGAAUCAACUUUAAACACAGAAUUCUGAGGGAGAACCCAGAAACUUUGUUUGCCGACUGCUCACAAAACGGGACUGUUACAAACCUGCUAUUUUACACAGACCACACUACUGCCUGGCAUACAGCUGUAACUAGCCAUUUCAGCUAUACCACGAAGAAAGGCAUCUGCAAGGGAAGACAAAUCCACAUUUUUGAGGACAGCGAUAAGGACCAGGAAAACAGGUUUCUGACGGUAAACAUGUAUCAGAACGGCACUAUCAUGGUCCAGGGCAGUGAGGCUGCAAUCAGCUCUGUUGUGCAGGACUUCCCCACCCUAAUGAAGAUAGCAGAAAGUAAAAAAGACAAGGACAGCACCCCGACCUCUCCCCUCACCUCAGGCACCCCAACAGCAGGACUAUCCUCCCCCCUGCCUGCCUACAACCACCAGAGCCAAGACCACACUACCAUCAGCCUGUUGAGAGACAGGCUGGCUCUGUUAGAGGUAUGGGUUACUGAGCUGAAGGAGCAGCCCCCCAGCUACACCACCUCCAGCCCAGACACAGAGCUUCUACAGGACCAGAUCAACCAGUGCAGGACCCAGCUGAAGAACUCUGUCCAGGAGCUGAGAGAGAGCCUUACCACAGCGCUUGAGGAGGUAAAGGCCACCAUGAGGAGAGAGCUAGUGCAGGUAAAGGAGGAGAUGGCAAAGGAGUUGUCUGUCAUCAAGAGGGUGCUACAGCAGAGAGAACAGACUGUAGAGACUCCCAGAGAGAAGCUGCAGCCCCUCACCACCCCUAACAACCCCACUGACCCACCUUUACCCACAAUCCCCCCCCAUACCGACAACACUUUACCCACACCCCCAGUCAACAAAGAGGCCCACAUAGAGACACCUACUACAGAG
RNAcentral lists this long non-coding RNA (1478 nucleotides) under Salmo trutta (river trout). RNAcentral's name for it is "lncRNA (ENSSTUG00000041469.1)". The record is from RNAcentral. Lineage: Eukaryota; Metazoa; Chordata; Actinopteri; Salmoniformes; Salmonidae.